UACAGUAUCAUUGCAUUUACAACUCGAUAUCAAUAGUACAGUUGCAUUAUGACAAGUGAUUACAGCGUUCGUUAAAACAAACCGUGGAUUAUAAUUGUCAAACUGUGUGCAUUUUAUUGAGUGAUUGAAGAAUUUGAUAACAUUUCAAGGUGAUAUUAGACGGGAAGCGCUGAGACAUUUAAAACAGAAUGAAGCAUUUAACAGUAACUUUGGUUGUAUUAGUUCUAGUGAUAUACCUAUCACACGAUUUAAGCAAACACUCGGCAUCAGCAAUUCCAGCGCUGAUGCUGUGUAAUGGAAAGUGUUUCAAUGGAGGGACAAUUCUCAUGCCUACUUCAAUAUUUGGAUACUGUCACUGUUUGUGCCGAAAUGGUUUUGCUGGUCCUAGAUGUGAAAUCCCUCCAAAGAAUAGGAAGUUACGAAUGAUGUAUUUAUUAAAGAAAUUGAGAUCCAGGUGACCAGUAAUCAGAAUUUAGGUUUAUUAAAUAUACCCGGUUACAGAUCGACACAGGAUGGAUGCCUCAAACUUUAAAGGACCAAACUUAAGAAUCUCCAGGAGCUGUGUUCCUUCAACUAGAACACUAACUAUUUAUUUAUUUAUUUAUUGAACAUCUCACUCCUACUAUGAUCCUGAAAGUGCGAUGGUGUCAAUUUCAUUGCGACAGUGUCAGAAGUCUUAAAUCCAUUCCAGCCAUUGGCCAAGAAUCUCAGUUCGUCGGAGUAGUGAGAACACUAAGCUGGAAUCGGUUUUGGAGUCUUUGCGAUCUGCUCCGAUUCAUCCACAGAUUACGGAACCUAUCGCAAAGCAUGUUUCCGUCGUAAAAAUUCCUUAGAAAUCCAACGGGAUGGGAGAAGCUAUGGACUUCGGUUUUAUUUUGCAUUGUAUGAAUUUCAAUGCAGUAUUAUUUAAGGAUUGAUCUCAGUUUACUCAAAUGUCAUUGUCUCAAAUCAGAUUUGUUUUUGUGAGAUCAUUCCAUUUAUUUAUUAAGUCCCUUGCCGGUUACACUAUUUACACAAAAAAACUUAUACUCAAACACAUGUCAUCUUUUUCACAUCAUUCAAAGCUAACAACCUAUAUAAUUGUAAGCUUUUAAAAUAUGUAGAAUCUCUAUACAGAUGAUCAUACUUUUGAUGUAGCGAUAAGACUUUCUAAAAAACAAUGUUACCAUUACUACAAACUCAAAUAGUCAAUGUUUCUUAGAAUUUGACAUUUUAUUUAUCUAAGAUAACUUCUGCAAAAAAGGGAAAUCACAGAUGUUUUUCUCUCUCCGCAGGGAAGGUAUCGUGUGGAAUUUUAAAUGAACUUUUAACAAUUAUGUUGUAAAAUCAUUAAUUAUUCAGAAAUAUAGAGCAACAUACACGACAUGUGCCAAUCUUGCAUUCCAAAUACCGGUAAGGGACUGUAUCAUCAUAUUUCAAAUUGAAAUAACACGGACGAGUGCAUUCUUAUUGUGAUAACAUAACAUUUGUUAUUUAUAUUUGUUUUCAUUAUUUAUUAUUAUUUAUGAUACUAUGUUUAAGUGUUAUAAAAAAUCAAGUGACAGAAAAAAGAAAGAAUAAAAAAAAUAAAAUUUU
Magallana angulata is the source of this 1575-nucleotide long non-coding RNA. RefSeq lists it as uncharacterized. Lineage: Eukaryota; Metazoa; Mollusca; Bivalvia; Ostreida; Ostreidae. The record is from RefSeq and is a predicted model, not a curated record. The transcript is spliced from 2 exons.